GGGUCAGUAGGUUGGUCGUGCCACCGGUACGUACUGGUCUCACUGAUUCCUCCUUCCUGAAGAACCGUAAUGCCAUUUAUUUGGUGUUGCGGGGAAACAGGACUGUUACUUUGAAAAAAUUAGAGUGUUUAAAGCAAUCUAACGCUUGAAUACAUUAGCAUGGAAUAAUGAAAUAGGACGAUCGAUCCUAUUUUGUUGGUUUCUAGGAUUGACGUA
This 216-nucleotide ribosomal RNA is filed under the name Glomeromycotina sp. Its description in RNAcentral is "partial small subunit ribosomal RNA". The stretch from base 40 to 216 matches the Rfam family "Eukaryotic small subunit ribosomal RNA", at positions 686 to 864 of the family's 1831-position model. Lineage: Eukaryota; Fungi; Glomeromycota. The record is from RNAcentral.